RNAcentral lists this ribosomal RNA (601 nucleotides) under uncultured bacterium. RNAcentral describes it as "bacterial SSU rRNA". It matches the Rfam family "Bacterial small subunit ribosomal RNA", at positions 743 to 1349 of the family's 1533-position model. The record is from RNAcentral.
ACGCUAAAGCUCGAAGGUGCGGGUAUCGAACAGGAUUAGAUACCCUGGUAGUCCGCACGGUAAACGAUGGAUGCCCGCUGUUUGCGAUAUACUGUGAGCGGCCAAGAGAAAUCGUUAAGCAUCCCACCUGGGGAGUACGCCGGCAACGGUGAAACUCAAAGGAAUUGACGGGGGCCCGCACAAGCGGAGGAACAUGUGGUUUAAUUCGAUGAUACGCGAGGAACCUUACCCGGGCUUGAACUGCAGAGGAAGGAUCUGGAGACAGUGACGCCCUUCGGGGCCUCUGUGGAGGUGCUGCAUGGUUGUCGUCAGCUCGUGCCGUGAGGUGUCGGCUUAAGUGCCAUAACGAGCGCAACCCCUUUCAUUAGUUGCCAUCACUUCGGGUGGGCACUCUGGUGAUACUGCCACCGUAAGGUGCGAGGAAGGUGGGGAUGACGUCAAAUCAGCACGGCCCUUACGUCCGGGGCUACACACGUGUUACAAUGGGUGAUACAGAGGGCAGGUGCAUGGCAAUGUGCAUCAAAUCUUGAAAGUCAUCCUCAGUUCGGAUUGGGGUCUGCAACCCGACCCCAUGAAGCUGGAUUCGCUAGUAAUCGCGCAU